Molecule: ribosomal RNA, 253 nt
Filed under: uncultured bacterium
Lineage: Bacteria
Description: partial 16S ribosomal RNA
Rfam family: Bacterial small subunit ribosomal RNA
Source: RNAcentral
UACGAAGGGUGCAAACGUUGCUCGGAAUCAUUGGGCGUAAAGCGCACGUAGGCGGCCUUGCAAGUCGGAUGUGAAAUCCCACGGCUCAACCGUGGACGUGCAUCCGAAACUGCUCGGCUCGAGUAUGGAAGAGGGUCGCGGAAUUCCCGGUGUAGAGGUGAAAUUCGUAGAUAUCGGGAGGAACACCAGUGGCGAAGGCGGCGACCUGGGAUAACACUGACGCUCAUGCACGAAAGCGUGGGGAGCAAACAGG